UAUAUAUAUUCACGCAGACAUAUAUAUAUAUAUACAUAUAUCUAGAAAGAUAAAUAAAAUAUAGGGUGUUUCUAAGAGAUACAUAUGUAAUCAUAUUUUUAGAAUAAACCAAUAUUUUACGUGUAUAUGAUUUAAUACUGUAAAAUAAAAAAUAAAGUUCCCCGUCUCUGCAUGGGUUCUCUCUGGAUAUCCCUCUUCCCGCAGUCGGGGUUUAGGUUACUUGAUGAUGAUGAAGAUUGCCCAUAGGUGUAUAAAUGUGAGAAUAAUUCUCUGUCAGCUCUGAUUGACUGACGACCGUCUCUUGCCCGAUGCUGGUUGAUUGACUUUUAGAAUAUUGAUGAUGCAUCCUUAUUCAAACUUACACAUUCUUUUAUUUUAUACCCUGUUAUUACAUUAACUUUGCAUAUUGGCCAGGAUGGAAUCUAUGUUCAUAAUAUUAUAGACACACUUCAAGUAAUUAUUUUUAAUUUACUUCUUAAUUUGAAUUAAUUGUCUAAUGAAUCUUUCCCUCAGAAUAUGCUUGUCAAUAUAUACAAAUGAAGAUAAAAUGAGACCAAAUUUGGGGGGGGGAAAUGGGACAAUUAACAUGUUGUCGGUUUUAACCACCAGGUGGCGGAUUAGGAGCAUUUUCAGACCCAAUCAAGAUCAAUUUAUUAAACAUUCUUCAUUUAUACAGUAAAUAAAAGGGCCAUGAAAUAGACUAAAGGUAACUCAACAAGUGAAAGUAAUGAAUUUGAAACCUUGUAUAGAAAAACAAUGUCUGAAAGACUCAACGUGUAAUUAAUGACAUAUCAUAACCGUCGAUAGUUUAAGACAGAAACAAUUAAAAAAAACUGUAUAUAUCAAUAUUUUGUCCAAUUACUAAAUUCUCUUCAAAUCUUCAAAAUUGAACUGUACUUAAUAUGUCCAAGUAUAUUUGGUCAUGCUGAUGAUGAAAUAAGAAAACAUAUGUUAUUCAUCUACACAAUAAAGUAAUAUACCAUCUCCUACUCUGUUCUGGAGCUUUCAAGUCAAUCACAUGGUUUUUAUCCAAAGAUGGAUAAAAAAUCAAUGCUUAAAAUGAACUAUGAUAUAAAGUAUAAAUACACGAUAAAAUAGCACAAUAUAUAUGAAGGAAAGUAUACAUGAGGAGGCAAAACAAUAAUAAAAGAUGAUGUGAACUAUUCACUGUGAUGAAUCACUUUGUUAGCUCUAUGCGUGGACAGUAGUACUGGUAGUACAUAUAUACAUGUAGUGGUAGUAGUCCUGGUAGUACAGCAGAGUACAGCAGGUGGAGCCACAGACCGCAUGUUAAACACCGAGAUCUUCGUCUGAUUCCGUUUCAGUUUGUAGAAAUAAAGAUAAAUUGAAACUGUACUAAAAAUAUGUUUCUAUACUUAGAAUGUGUAGUUUUACUUAUUUUAUGUUCAUAUGUUUGUUAAGGAUUAUUGUUUUAUUUAAUACUUUAUGUAAAUUUGAUGUUAAUGCCUCGCCAGACGCGUCGAUCUUUUUCACAUGAACAUUGGCAGAAAUGUACUUUUUUUAAACUGCAUAUAUGACAUUUGAGUUCAAGAUUUGUUCAGUUUAUUUUACUUAACCGUCACGAAAAAAUCAGGAGGAAUACUCUCAGUUCAUUGUGUUUAAGUAAAUCUGUCAAUUGAGUUCCCACUACGCACCGUUGAUAAAUUGCUAUAUUAAUACUUUUUAAAAUAUAGUAGAACAAUAAUAGAUGCAAUGUAAUUCAAACUGUGGCACAAUGAAAAAAUAAUUAAAUCACAUUAUUGCAUAAUCAGUAGAGAAGACAGAAAUGUUAAAAUAUCAAACUAAAGUCAAGAUGUUUAUAACAAAUCAACUUUUAUAAAAAGAUUAUAAGCAUAAUUCAAGGCUAGACGUUUUUAAUUAACAUUACCUUCCUGAUUUACAACACUACACAUUUCUUUGCUUUCCUCCUCCAUGCUGUUCUCAUAAAUACUGUGUGAACGUUAAAUUAAGAAUAUUAUUUUCAUUCUUCUUAACAUUUAAGAACAUUCUCCGAUGCUCGUUUUAUUUUCUUCUUCUUUAAAGAAGUAUACCUCAAAUAAAUUCACAAAAACACAGAGUUAUGAAUUUAAUCUUCAUAGCCAGUAGUUUUGGUCAAAGUGUGAUAUGAAUUGUGUUUAUUUUAAGUUCUCUUUUAGAUGUUUGUGAUGUAACUUCAUCAAACAAGCUAUUGUUGUGUAAAGUACAUAAAUACUUGGUAGAAUGAAGACAAACAUUUCCUCCCACCUGACCACAGGAAAUACAUUUCAAAUGUUUAAAGAUGUUGGGUUUACAGUAAAAUUCAUUCAUUUAUUUUUAUGUAAAUGACACAUGUUGCACCUGUGAGGUAAAUGGAACAUUACAGCCAGCAUGUUAAAAUCAAUUCAUAAACAGUAGUGAAUCUAUUGUGUUAAUUACAUGAGCUGUUUUCCAAAACUAUACAGUAUAAUUGGGCAUUCAAAAUCAAUAUAGAAUUCCCCAAAAUACAGCAAAAAUCAGUGAAAACAUGAAUCAUUCCGUCUACUUUCCUCUGAAUCUGAUUCUUGGUAUUAUUUGUACAAGUAUUGCUGACUUGUCGACAUGAAGCUAAUCAGUAAUUAGCUGCUUAAUCGUUAGCAUGUGGAGGAGCUGAUGCCACAGGAUCACCUGUAUUUAAACACCUGUGUGUGAGUGAGUCUGAUUCUGGAUCAUUUCAGGUCUCGGUGCCUUUUAGGGUUUCACAGGAUUAAGGAAAUGUAUCGACGAUGUCUAAUUCAUAGUUACUGAUUCUCAAGUAUGAUUAAUAUUUGAAGAGACAGAUAAAUGUGUGGCUGCACACCAGCUAACAACCUAAACUCUGUUAGCUUUUCAGUAUUACCUUCCACAUGUUUUUUUCUUUAUUUAUAAAAUCCAUAAAAACCUGAAUAACUUUCUCAGACUAAGUGUAGCUUAUAUAUUUUUGUAAAAUUCCAUAUUUAAAAGGUGGCCCGAACAUUUUUGGCAUCUUUUUUUAACUAAAAUGACGAAUAUGAUUAAUGGAUAAGCAAAAUGAUAAUUAUUUAAUUAAAUGUCAAUUGACUAAUCCGUUCAUUUAUUUAAUACUAUUAAUGACAUCUACAUAUACAAUACAUUAUAGUCAGCUAUAUCAUUUAUGACCAUAAAAGCAACCAAAUCAAAAUCUUAGGAUUGUGUGUUUAAUCAAAAUGUCUUUGUUUGACGUGUCUCACAUGUUGUACAUUUACUUGUAUUGUGUUUCUACACAUUGAAGCCACUUUUCAGUGCAAAGCGUUCGGCUUUCCUCUGCUGCCUCGUGUCACUCAAAUCAAUUCUGGCAUUGUGAUCGUUUUACUGCACAGAAUACAUGUUUGAAUCCUCUCUCCUGUUAGCCCUCAUUCACAUUAAGGUACACGGCUUAUUUUCUGCCUUUUUGCCGGGAUUCCUCAGUGCUCGCAAUGGUGCGAUCUCGGUGGUGACCACCAGGGGGCGACUCCUCUGGUCCUAUAGAAGUCUAUGAGAAAAUGACUACUUCUCUCUUGAUUUACUCCCUCUGUAAAUAUUGUAAACAUGAGUUUAUGGUCUCAAUCUGUAGUUUGUAGUCUUCUUUAAUACAGCGUGAUGUUCAUUUAGUAAAUGAUGGUCCAUUUAGAGGCAGACAGCCCAGAAAGCGGAGGACGCUUCAGGGCGGGGCUACACCAUGACAGUACUUUCACUCUGAAAACCGAAGGCCAAACUUGAGCUUUUUCGAACUGAGCUGAUAUCUUCUGUCGCCAAAUGGAGCCCAGAUUCCUACUUCAUCAAUAAGAACGGAAAUAAAAACUUAAUUCUCCAAUCGGCCCCCGAGAGUUCAACCACACCGAAGAGACGAGAGGACGGAGGCACCGACGCAUCCACGCACACACCCGUCCAUCGAGUGAUUCAAAGUUGUUCCCGUCUCUAACCGGCUGACGGGGGUCCAACGCGUCGCCCUGGGGGGAUAAUUAAGAACCUGCAUCGUCGUGUCUCAAGUGUUUAAUAACACCGACCCACGUGUCCUCCUCUUCAACGGAGGCAUUCUUUCCGCUGUUUUUUUUUUUUAAAGAUCUGACUUGGAUUGGACAAACGGAUUUUGUCCCAAACCUCUCAAAUGGGGUUAGGGGUGGGGGGGUGGGAGGGGACUGUCUUUGUGUCUUUAACACUCAGAACCUCUUGAAUAAUGACAGCAAUGAUAAGCAUUCAGAGAUGACAAAUGGAAGCGUCUGCAUUAUACAUGGCUGCUUUGUUGGGACGAUGUUCAUCCGAGCACUUAAGUCUCUCCGAACCUGAUGAGCUCCUCCUUCAGGUUUCUGCCCCAUUUCCCCCCCACCUCCCCGCCCUCCUCUCCUCCUCUUCUUCUGGAUAUACAUCUGCAGGAAGCAUUAAUGUUUAAACCCGCGUGUUUUGUCUGAGCGGCAGUUUGUUUUGUCAUUAAAAUAUGGAAGAGCGGCUCUCAUUGUUUCGUGUCCGCUUUUUCUGAAAGACAAAUCUGCUAAGUGAAAUCACGGUGAAAUAUUAAUCGGAUGAGUUGAUUUACAUUUAUGUAACACUUUGCAUACGAUAAAUCGAGCUAAAGUGAGCGAGAGCGGUUCUGUCAUGAGGAAGAGAGCCGAGGAAACAAAUCGCACCACAAGCCCUCCAACACAAAGCUGCAGGAACGAGUUCGAAAACAAGAGGACGAGUCAGCAGUUUGUUUACUUCCUGUUUCCGCGUCUUGAAGGCAUUUUUAAAAAUAAGGUUUUGAUGAGAUUUUAACCUUUUUUUUCUAAUAAAUAAAACACGGUUUGUUACUUUCAAUAAUUAUUGUCGCUGUUCAAGAGCAAACAAAGCUUUAAAAUAUGUUAUUUUCUUGAUUUAUUAUAAAAUGAGUAAGUAUUUAAAUCUGUGUUUAAGUUAGUUAAGUUAGUCCACUCCAAAAAACAGCAAAACCAUCUAGUUCCUUAACGCACCACCUUCAUUUUAGUUCCUGAACACACCACCUACAUUUUAGUUCCUUAACAAAUCACCUUAAUUCUAGUUCCUGAACACCACUCUGCCGUGACCUCCUGGGGGCCGCGGGCCUCGUGUUGGGCCCCUGUGCUGGUUUAUCUGUAGCCUGACGGCUCCCAGCGGGAGAAUUCAACAUAAUAGUUUCUUCUGAAUGUAGUUUUGUGAUUUAAAUUGCUAAUUAUAAUGGUGAUGGAACAAAUAAAUAAAACAUGACCUUAGCGUGUUUUUAUCUCUCACUGUAAAAACUCUGGCGGUCAGUAAAUCAGCCGCGGUGGCGUUCCGGCGAUGACUCGUCUGUUGUUGGGUAAAUGCUCCGUAAAUGUCACUCUGGAAAACAACAUUGCAGUGGGUUUAAUGUAUUUAAUGACAUGAACAGUUAUUUACAUUUGUUCCUCUUCUUUUGUGUCCCAUAAUUCCACUUUUCAGGAUCAAUGUUUAUUUUGUAAUUUCCUUUUAUUUGACUUAAAAAUCUCCCUUCAUGAGUUUUAAUGUAAACCAACAAAAGUUUGAAUGUUUCACAUUCCGCAUUUGUCACAAUAACUCAAACUAACAGGUUGAAUGUUUUCGCUUCUUUUUGUCUUCUGUAAGUCAAAAACCAAUAAUCUGUUGACACAUGUGGUAUUUCACUGUCCGACACUAAAAUAGAAAACGCAUCGACAGGAUGUGAAGAGGCUGCGGCCCUCUGGGGGCUGUAGGAACUCAGCACAUACAAUGGAUGCAUGUAAGGACUCCAACAUAAUUUAUUUUCAUCAUGCAACAAAAUGCACUCGCAGCCCGUUUGCUGCACACGAGGAACAUGACGCACAAAAGCUAAAAGCAGUCAUGUGUUCCUGCAGUGCAACGUUAAACAUCUGCAUCAGGAGGAAGAUAAACAGCGGCCCUGAAAGCAGAUGACACGGCCGACUCAAUAAGACCAUGAAUCUUUCACCGACUUCUGUCCCUGAACCUUUUAGAAUUUUUAGAGGCAGCAAACGAUUUGGGAGUUUUAAGAUAAUCUUUGUAAAACAUCCGAUGUUCCCUUCGAUUGUCCCGUAAAACACGUUAAGAGACGUGACGCUCAGUGUGGACUCCUUCCUAAUAUCAUGAUUUGAUAAUGGUUCAAAGGUCGAAGUAGUAGUAGUUCAUAGUACAGAGGUCAUGGUAGUAAUACCUUAUAGUAUGGAGGUAACAGUAUUAAUACCUCAUAGCACGGAGGUAACAGUAGUAAGACCUCAUAGUACGGAGGUAACAGUAGUAAUACCUCAUAGUACGGAGGUAACAGUAGUAAUACCUCAUAGUACGGAGAUAACAGUAGUAAUACCUCAUAGAACGGAGGUAACAGUAGUAAUACCUCAUAGAACGGAGGUAACUGUAGUAAUACCUCAUAGUACGGAGGUAACAGUAGUAAUACCUCAUAGUACGGAGGUAACUGUAGUAAUACCUCAUAGAACGGAGGUAACUGUAGUAAUACCUCAUAGUACGGAGGUAACAGUAGUAAUACCUCAUAGUACGGAGGUAACUGUAGUAAUACCUCAUAGAACGGAGGUAACUGUAGUAAUACCUCAUAGUACGGAGGUAACAGUAGUAAUACCUCAUAGUACGGAGGUAACAGUAG
Gasterosteus aculeatus aculeatus (three-spined stickleback) is the source of this 6571-nucleotide long non-coding RNA. The record is from Ensembl. NCBI's taxonomy places the organism in Eukaryota, Metazoa, Chordata, Actinopteri, Perciformes, Gasterosteidae.